Bactrocera oleae (olive fruit fly) is the source of this 448-nucleotide non-coding RNA. Lineage: Eukaryota; Metazoa; Arthropoda; Insecta; Diptera; Tephritidae. The record is from RefSeq and is a predicted model, not a curated record.
UUGGCGGUGACCCUCGUAAAAAUUCUCGCAAAUUCAUAUUCGCUAGAAAUGUUUGUAUGUAUAUAUAUAUAGUCACUUAUAUCGUAGCAUAAAGUCAGCUGAAAUAUGAGUUUGGCAUUGCGAUGGCACAUUGUUGAUUAUAUUGAAUUUUUCGUGGACUCAAGCCAAGUGACGGCAGCACAUUUGGAAAAUUAUUUUGUCGCCAAUUUAAACAGUUGCGUUCUCACAGCACAGAAAUAUAUAUUUAUGCAAGCCUCCAAGAAACGACGACAGUGAACACCUUUGUGUGCAAUUCGAGCAUUUAUUUUUAAUUAUUAUAAGAAACGCACAGUUAUGGGAGAAAUUAUUUGCUUAAGUCGGCUUAAAUGCAGAAACUUUUAAUGAAAUUAUUUUCAACUCAAAUAUUUUUAAUUAACUUAAAUGCUUAUCCAAACGCUUUAUAUACAAU